GAGAAAGCGAGUUCACCUGGAUUCGUUGGAAUUAAUAGCUUAUAACGUAAGUUUAAAUUAUUGUAAUAUCUUAAAUACACAAUUGAUAGAGCUAUCCAGUAUAAAUAAAGUUAGUUUAGUUUAGGUUUCCUCCUGUAGUAACACUGGAUCAAUAAGAGAUGAUCCUUACUGGACCUCUAGGAAGAACAGUUUAGAACUGAUAGAGCUAUCCAGUAUAAAUAAAGUUAGUUUAGUUUAGGUUUCCUCCUGUAGUAACACUGGAUCAAUAAGAGAUGACACUUACUGGACCUCUAGGAAGAACAGUUUAGAACUCGGUUCAGAAGGGAUAGAGCUAUCCAGUAUGAUUUAGUUUAGAUGUCCUUUUUAUUACGAAACCAUUACUAAUAAAUUUUCAAAAUUUUCCUGUUUUAGAAAUUCUGCAUAUCCAUUGGAGCAUUGAGGUAAAUGAUAUGACCAAAUCAUGUUGGUCUCCAAUGAAAUUUCGAAAGAGAUUCCAUCACCGCAAAAUGAAUCCAAAACUGAAACGUCCCAAAUUGUCUCUUCCUUGUCCCACAUACAAACUUGCCCAAAAGACAAGAAAGAAUGCGAUUCAAUGUUGAAACUAUCGAGAAGUAUUGCUGUGACAACUUUACCCAUCUUAAAUAAAUUGCCC
This is a non-coding RNA of Paramuricea clavata, 652 nucleotides long. The record is from the annotation of a GenBank genome assembly. NCBI's taxonomy places the organism in Eukaryota, Metazoa, Cnidaria, Anthozoa, Malacalcyonacea, Plexauridae.